RNAcentral lists this transfer RNA (73 nucleotides) under Trichophyton rubrum CBS 735.88. RNAcentral's name for it is "tRNA-Gln (CTG) (tRNA-Gln-CTG-2-1)". It matches the Rfam family "tRNA". From Rfam's summary of the family: Transfer RNA (tRNA) molecules are approximately 80 nucleotides in length. Their secondary structure includes four short double-helical elements and three loops (D, anti-codon, and T loops). Further hydrogen bonds mediate the characteristic L-shaped molecular structure. tRNAs have two regions of fundamental functional importance: the anti-codon, which is responsible for specific mRNA codon recognition, and the 3' end, to which the tRNAs corresponding amino acid is attached (by aminoacyl-tRNA synthetases). tRNAs cope with the degeneracy of the genetic code in two manners: having more than one tRNA (with a specific anti-codon) for a particular amino acid; and 'wobble' base-pairing, i.e. permitting non-standard base-pairing at the 3rd anti-codon position. Lineage: Eukaryota; Fungi; Ascomycota; Eurotiomycetes; Onygenales; Arthrodermataceae. The record is from RNAcentral.
GGUCGUAUAGUGUAGCUGGUUAGCACAUCGGAUUCUGAUUCCGGUAAUCCUGGUUCGAAUCCUGGUAUGACCU